GAGGUAGCUCAGUGGUAGAGCAUCUGUUGAGCAUGCAUGAGGUCCUGGGUUCCAUCCCCAGCAACACA
RNAcentral lists this transfer RNA (68 nucleotides) under Marmota monax (woodchuck). Its description in RNAcentral is "tRNA.Ala". The record is from RNAcentral. Lineage: Eukaryota; Metazoa; Chordata; Mammalia; Rodentia; Sciuridae.